This 489-nucleotide ribosomal RNA is filed under the name uncultured bacterium. RNAcentral describes it as "bacterial SSU rRNA". It matches the Rfam family "Bacterial small subunit ribosomal RNA", at positions 30 to 513 of the family's 1533-position model. The record is from RNAcentral.
AUUGAACGCUGGCGGCAGGCCUAACACAUGCAAGUCGAGCGGUAGAGAGGUGCUUGCAUCUCUUGAGAGCGGCGGACGGGUGAGUAAUGCCUAGGAAUCUGCCUAGUGGUGGGGGAUAACGUUCGGAAACGGACGCUAAUACCGCAUACGUCCUACGGGAGAAAGCGGGGGAUCUUCGGACCUCGCGCCAUUAGAUGAGCCUAGGUCGGAUUAGCUAGUUGGUGAGGUAAUGGCUCACCAAGGCGACGAUCCGUAACUGGUCUGAGAGGAUGAUCAGUCACACUGGAACUGAGACACGGUCCAGACUCCUACGGGAGGCAGCAGUGGGGAAUAUUGGACAAUGGGCGGAAGCCUGAUCCAGCCAUGCCGCGUGUGUGAAGAAGGUCUUCGGAUUGUAAAGCACUUUAAGUUGGGAGGAAGGGUAGUAACCUAAUACGUUGCUACUUUGACGUUACCGACAGAAUAAGCACGGCUAACUUCGUGCCAGCA